RNAcentral lists this ribosomal RNA (434 nucleotides) under uncultured bacterium. Its description in RNAcentral is "bacterial SSU rRNA". It matches the Rfam family "Bacterial small subunit ribosomal RNA", at positions 549 to 980 of the family's 1533-position model. The record is from RNAcentral.
AAUUAUUGGGCGUAAAGAGCUUGUAGGCGGUUUGUCGCGUCUGCUGUGAAAGGCCGGAGCUUAACUCCGUGUAUUGCAGUGGGUACGGGCAGACUAGAGUGCAGUAGGGGAGACUGGAAUUCCUGGUGUAGCGGUGGAAUGCGCAGAUAUCAGGAGGAACACCGAUGGCGAAGGCAGGUCUCUGGGCUGUAACUGACGCUGAGAAGCGAAAGCAUGGGGAGCGAACAGGAUUAGAUACCCUGGUAGUCCAUGCCGUAAACGUUGGGCACUAGGUGUAGGAGGUAUCGACCCCUUCUGUGCCGGAGUUAACGCAAUAAGUACCCCGCCUGGGGAGUACGACCGCAAGGUUGAAACUCAAAGGAAUUGACGGGGGCCCGCACAAGCGGUGGAGUAUGUGGUUUAAUUCGACGCAACGCGAAGAACCUUACCAGGUC